Molecule: unclassified non-coding RNA, 224 nt
Filed under: Hevea brasiliensis (rubber tree)
Lineage: Eukaryota; Viridiplantae; Streptophyta; Magnoliopsida; Malpighiales; Euphorbiaceae
Source: RNAcentral
CAGCUGUUCUAUUUGGGUCGCUUAUUAAGAAUCAGCUGGUAACUCAUCUUGCACUUGGUAUUGCCUUGCGAGCUGUCUUGGAUGCGUUGCGCAAGCCUGCUGAUUCGAAGAUGUUUGUUUUUGGGAUUUUGGCACUUGAACAGUUCGUUGAUCGUCUGAUUGAAUGGCCCCAAUACUGCAACCAUAUCUUGCAAAUAUCUCAUCUCCGAGUAGCUAAUCCAGAG